Molecule: non-coding RNA, 1219 nt
Organism: Pseudoliparis swirei
Lineage: Eukaryota; Metazoa; Chordata; Actinopteri; Perciformes; Liparidae
Source: the annotation of a RefSeq genome assembly
CUGAAAAUGGUCAAAAUCACUUGACAGUUUUUGAUGUGUACAUUUCAGACUCAGCUACUUACUACUGCGCAGGUAGCUAUACAUUUGGAAUGACUUUUGCCGAAGGCAUUGUUGUCAUUGUCCGGGGUUCAGGUGUGAGCGUCCCAGUGUUGGUCCAUCAGUCAGCGUCUGAGACCAUCCAGCCAGGAGGCUCUGUGACUCUGAGCUGUACAGUUCACACUGGGACCUGUGAUGGUGAACACAGUGUCUACUGGUUCAAGGACUCUGAAGAGUCUCAUCCAGGACUCAUUUACACCCACGGAGGCCGGAAUGAUCAGUGUGAGAGGAAAGCCAGCACACAGAAGACACACACCUGUGUCUACAACCUGCCGAUGAAGAGCCUGAAUCGGUCUGACGCUGGGACCUACUACUGUGCUGUUGCCUCGUGUGGACACAUGCUGUUUGGAGACGGGACCAAGCUGGACUUUGAGGAGGAAGUCCACUCUCUUGUCUUGGUGUAUUUCUUGAGUGGAGCGUUGACGUUCACCAGCAUCCUGAGUGUCUUACUGGCUGUCUCAGUGUGCAUGAUGAACAAGGGGAGCAGCUGCCCGAGCUCAGAGUUUAACACAAGAUGUCCAGCUCCCUCCGCAGAAAACGAGAUGGUGUCCACCUGCAGAACGGGUCAAGAAGACCGAAGGAUCCGACCUGGAGUGAAUGUGUGUACUACAGCGUGAAGCAGUAGAACUGGACGUACUACGUUUGUACUUUUGAGCCGGAACGGGAUUUCUCUUUUAAAGUGUAAUGUAGAUUUAUAUCUCAGUUGGAAAUAAGCGGAUUGUAUAUCUGCUUUUUGAGCCAACAUUACAUGUUUCUAUGCUUCGCUAAUGUGCAUAUUCAGGAUACUCAUUGGUGGUCUGUGUGGUCUGAAGCAGGUUAUCUUCAAACCAUGUAUCUCUAUAAUCUCUCCAAAUAAAUGUGUUUUCAUGACUUAAUCAGUAUAUUUCAAAGUUUAGAUUUACCGACUGUUUUAAAGUCACUCAAACGCUUCUAGCUUCUUACGAGCAUUGCAUGAUAAUCAAUAAACUGAUAUGGUCUGUCAUUAAUAAAUAUACAUGUCAGAAUAAUCAAGUACGGUGGUUGCCAGUUAUUUUCUAUUCUAGAGAUGGUCCUGGUUCUCUCUAUACGUUAUGGAUAUGAAUGCUGUUCUAUACAUAAUUAUGAAAUAAAAAUAUAUUUUCCA